GUCCACGCCCUAAACGAUGUCUACUAGUUGUCGGGUCUUAAUUGACUUGGUAACGCAGCUAACGCGUGAAGUAGACCGCCUGGGGAGUACGGUCGCAAGAUUAAAACUCAAAGGAAUUGACGGGGACCCGCACAAGCGGUGGAUGAUGUGGAUUAAUUCGAUGCAACGCGAAAACCUUACCUACCCUUGACAUGGAUGGAAUCCUUGAGAGAUUGAGGAGUGCCCGAAAGGGAACCAUCACACAGGUGCUGCAUGGCUGUCGU
This 263-nucleotide ribosomal RNA is filed under the name uncultured bacterium. RNAcentral's name for it is "partial 16S ribosomal RNA". It matches the Rfam family "Bacterial small subunit ribosomal RNA", at positions 793 to 1055 of the family's 1533-position model. The record is from RNAcentral.